GACGAACGCUGGCGGCGUGCCUAAUACAUGCAAGUCGAACGCAGUUGGGACGGGUGAGUAACACGUGGGUAACCUCCCAUCAGAGGGGAUAACACUUGGAAACAGGUGCUAAUCCGACACUGAUGGAUGGACCCGCGGUGCAUUAGCUAGUUGGUGAGGUAACGGCUCACCAAGGCCACGAUGCAUAGGCGACAUGAGAGGGUGAUCGGCCAGACUGGGUCGGAGACAGAGCCCAGACUCCUACGCGGGGCAGCAGUAGAGAAUCUUCGGGAAUGGAGGAGUGUCUGAUCGAGCAACGCCGCGUGAGUGAAGAAGGUUUGAGGAUCGUAAAACUCUGUUGUUAGAGAAGCGGUAUCUAACCAGAAAGCCACGGCUAACUACGUGCCAGCAGCCGCGGUAAUUC
Molecule: ribosomal RNA, 403 nt
Filed under: uncultured bacterium
Lineage: Bacteria
Description: partial 16S ribosomal RNA
Rfam family: Bacterial small subunit ribosomal RNA
Source: RNAcentral